GCGGGUGUAGUUUAAUGGUAGAACAACAGACUUCCACUCUGUUAGCGGGGGUUCGAUUCCCCCUACCCGCUC
RNAcentral lists this transfer RNA (72 nucleotides) under Streptomyces phage SparkleGoddess. Its description in RNAcentral is "tRNA-Gly". It matches the Rfam family "tRNA". Rfam says of the family: Transfer RNA (tRNA) molecules are approximately 80 nucleotides in length. Their secondary structure includes four short double-helical elements and three loops (D, anti-codon, and T loops). Lineage: Duplodnaviria; Heunggongvirae; Uroviricota; Caudoviricetes; Stanwilliamsviridae. The record is from RNAcentral. RNAcentral also lists the same sequence under 5 other names.